AACCUACAUGUGUAGGAUAGGUGGGAGGCUAUGAAGACGUGACGCCAGUUGCGUUGGAGCCGUCCUUGAAAUACCACCCUUGUAUGUUUGAUGUUCUAACUUAGACCCGUUAUCCGGGUUGAGGACAGUGCCUGGUGGGUAGUUUGACUGGGGCGGUCUCCUCCCAAAGAGUAACGGAGGAGCACGAAGGUGGGCUAAUCACGGUUGGACAUCGUGAGGUUAG
RNAcentral lists this ribosomal RNA (223 nucleotides) under Vibrio cholerae. RNAcentral describes it as "partial 23S ribosomal RNA". It matches the Rfam family "Bacterial large subunit ribosomal RNA", at positions 2127 to 2349 of the family's 2925-position model. The record is from RNAcentral. Lineage: Bacteria; Pseudomonadati; Pseudomonadota; Gammaproteobacteria; Vibrionales; Vibrionaceae.